RNAcentral lists this long non-coding RNA (812 nucleotides) under Phasianus colchicus (ring-necked pheasant). Its description in RNAcentral is "lncRNA (ENSPCLG00000003060.1)". Lineage: Eukaryota; Metazoa; Chordata; Aves; Galliformes; Phasianidae. The record is from RNAcentral.
CAAUUUCAACAUAUUAGAACACUGCUGGAUGUUUUUGUUUGUUCUUUUUUUUCCCAUUCAGUACUGUGGAAUGGAAAUGAUUUUCUUACCAGGCAAAGAGCUAAUGGCAGAGAACUGAAUGGAGCCACCUAACUACUUCACUGCAUCAGUCAGGAUAACUGGUUGCGUAUUUAAGGAGAAGUGAUCAGAGACAGAGUAAAUUCUGUACCAACUACCUACAGUGUCUCAAUGAGGUUACAGGAUUACUACAGAUUUAAAUGUACAAGAACUGCUGAAUCAUGGCCUGAACUUCUGAUUGAACACCUGAGGCAAGCAAUGAGUCAGCCAUGGGAGCACAGGUGAAGGUAAUUCACCUGUGCUACUGGAAGGGGUGGAGCCUGGCUCCACCUCUCCUAGAUCCCAUUUUAAGUGCUGACUGCUAUUGAGAAAGGAUCUCUUCUUGGGGAUUGCUUCUUGUGGAGGAUGUUGUGAGCCUACAACACUGGUAAGCAUUUUCUAUUUAUUCUCUUCCUGUUGUGAUAAUCUUAUUUAAUCUAACUUUCCUGUAUAUUUCUUAAUUAUAACAUCUGUAUAUUCAUUGGUUAUACGAUAAUGAACUUAAUGCAGUAUUUUGAUUAUCAAUAUGUGGUUAUCAACAUGUUCAAUUUUACUACAUACUACGGGCCAAUGUAAUAAUCAUGGACUUGAAUGCUGAGCUCUUUCUGGAAGUGCUCAUCCUCAAAUAUUGCUAUGGAAAGGGAGAUCUAAGCCUGCCAGGUAUUUUACAGAGCAAGGAAAUGUAAAGCUGCUUAUUGCAUUAUGGAUGAUAUCAC